UACGUAGGGGGCAAGCGUUGUCCGGAAUCAUUGGGCGUAAAGAGCGUGUAGGCGGCCAGAAAAGUCCGCUGUGAAAACUCGAGGCUCAACCUCGAGACGUCGGUUGAAACCGUUUGGCUAGAGUCCGGAAGAGGAGAGUGGAAUUCCCGGUGUAGCGGUGAAAUGCGCAGAUAUCGGGAAGAACACCCGUGGCGAAGGCGGCUCUCUGGGACGGUACUGACGCUGAGACGCGAAAGCGUGGGGAGCGAACAGG
This 253-nucleotide ribosomal RNA is filed under the name uncultured bacterium. Its description in RNAcentral is "partial 16S ribosomal RNA". It matches the Rfam family "Bacterial small subunit ribosomal RNA", at positions 524 to 776 of the family's 1533-position model. The record is from RNAcentral.